This 253-nucleotide ribosomal RNA is filed under the name uncultured bacterium. RNAcentral describes it as "partial 16S ribosomal RNA". It matches the Rfam family "Bacterial small subunit ribosomal RNA", at positions 524 to 776 of the family's 1533-position model. The record is from RNAcentral.
UACGACGGGGGCUAGCGAUGCUCGGAAUUACUGGGCGUAAAGGGCGCGUAGGCGGACCUGUCAGUCAGGCGUGAAAGCCCAGGGCUCAACCCUGGAACUGCGCUUGAUACUGCGGGUCUAGAGUGCCGGAGAGGAUGGUGGAAUUCCCAGUGUAGAGGUGAAAUUCGUAGAUAUUGGGAAGAACACCGGUGGCGAAGGCGGCCAUCUGGACGGCAACUGACGAUGAGGCGCGAAAGCGUGGGGAGCAAACAGG